GUGGUAAUAGAAUUCCCAUUUCGUAACAAUUUGCCCAUGAUCAUAUAUGACAAUAGACAUUAUUUUCUAGGAAGUGGUACUUCAUUUUUUUUUUCUCAUUUAAACACAACCGUGGCACCACAGUCCGGUUUUAAUAUCAUUUAAUCUUCCACAAAUCACACAUUAAAUGCAGCUUUCCACAAAAUGUGUUUCAAACCUG
Long non-coding RNA from Etheostoma cragini (Arkansas darter), 199 nucleotides. RefSeq lists it as uncharacterized. The record is from RefSeq and is a predicted model, not a curated record. The transcript has 2 exons. Lineage: Eukaryota; Metazoa; Chordata; Actinopteri; Perciformes; Percidae.